CAAAAUGACUCUCGGCAAUGGAUAUCUCGGCUCUCGCAUCGAUGAAGAACGUAGCGAAAUGCGAUACUUGGUGUGAAUUGCAGAAUCCCGUGAACCAUCGAGUCUUUGAACGCAAGUUGCGCCCGAAGCCGUCAGGCCGAGGGCACGUCUGCCUGGGCGUCACGCA
This 166-nucleotide ribosomal RNA is filed under the name Solanum lanceifolium. RNAcentral describes it as "5.8S ribosomal RNA". It matches the Rfam family "5.8S ribosomal RNA". Rfam says of the family: 5.8S ribosomal RNA (5.8S rRNA) is a component of the large subunit of the eukaryotic ribosome. It is transcribed by RNA polymerase I as part of the 45S precursor that also contains 18S and 28S rRNA. Functionally, it is thought that 5.8S rRNA may be involved in ribosome translocation. The record is from RNAcentral. Lineage: Eukaryota; Viridiplantae; Streptophyta; Magnoliopsida; Solanales; Solanaceae.